CCUACGGGUGGCAGCAGUCGGGAAUAUUGCGCAAUGGAGGAAACUCUGACGCAGUGACGCCGCGUGCAGGAAGAAGGUUUUCGGAUUGUAAACUGCUUUAGACAGGGAAGAAACAAGACAGUACCUGUAGAAUAAGCUCCGGCUAACUACGUGCCAGCAGCAGCGGUAAUACGGAGGGAGCAAGCGUUAUCCGGAUUUAUUGGGUGUAAAGGGUGCGUAGGCGGGAAGGCAAGUUGGGUGUGAAAUCCCUCGGCUUAACUGAGGAACUGCAACCAAAACUAUCUUUCUUGAGUGCUGUAGAGGAGAGUGGAAUUCCUAGUGUAGCGGUGAAAUGCGUAGAGAUGAGGAGGAACACCAGUGGCGAAGGCGACUUUCUGGACAUUAACUGACGUUGAGGCACGAAAGUGUGGGGAGCAAACAGGAUUAGAUACCCUAGUAGUC
This 441-nucleotide ribosomal RNA is filed under the name uncultured bacterium. RNAcentral's name for it is "partial 16S ribosomal RNA". It matches the Rfam family "Bacterial small subunit ribosomal RNA", at positions 338 to 795 of the family's 1533-position model. The record is from RNAcentral.